This is a long non-coding RNA of Sinocyclocheilus anshuiensis, 605 nucleotides long. RefSeq lists it as uncharacterized. The record is from RefSeq and is a predicted model, not a curated record. Lineage: Eukaryota; Metazoa; Chordata; Actinopteri; Cypriniformes; Cyprinidae. The transcript has 3 exons.
AGUCAUUCAGAGGUUAUGAUUUUUGGGCUGCUGUUAUUGGAUAUCAUGUUCCAGUUCGGGACUCCAUUGGUCUGGAGCUUGUCAGUCUGUGGCGCGCCAGCGCUCGCGAAGCCGCUGCGCAGACAGUGCACGACACGCGAGUGGCCAGAGAGUGUCUGGAGUCUGUCUGAAACUGAUAAAAAUGGUGAUGGAGUUCAUCCAGAGUCUCGCUCAUACUCAUUAGAAAAACAAAGGGAGACAGAGCGGAAUUAUACAAUCAUCCAACACUGUAGUCUGAUCGUAGCUUGAAAACUAGAUUCUAUUGUAGCGCAUUUCAAAGUUUUAUUCCAUGUUUUUCACCAGACAGACAGUUCAUUAAUUCACAGGCAGGAGGAUUACAUUUCUGAAGUCUUCUGAUGACCUCUUGGAGCUGUCACAGAUGCAGCUACACUUAAAGGUGAUACCUGUGUUCUGCGGUUGUGCUGCCAUGCUGCCGGGUGGAUUUGUGGCCUUGUGCUUCAGUAUCUGAGGUACACAAUGUUCUGGAAGAUUCGGCCUCUUGAGUGACCCAUUGGCCCUGAAAUCUUGCUCGUAACUGGAAAAGCUUCGAAAUGCGAAACUUAUGA